AACGAACGCUGGCGGCGCGCUUAACACAUGCAAGUCGAACGAGAAGGCGUAGCAAUACGCUUGUAUAGUGGCGAACGGGUGAGGAAUACGUGGGUGACCUACCCUCGAGUGGGGAAGUAACCCGCCGAAAGGACGGGCGUAAUGCCGCGUACGCUUCCGUCCUCGCGGGGACGGAAGGAAAGUCAUGCCGUGGGCGAUGGCGCUCAAGGAUGGGCUCACGUCCUAUCAGCUUGNGGUUAGGGUAACGGCCGUACCAACGGCGUCCGACGGGUAGGCUGGUCUGAGAGGAC
This 290-nucleotide ribosomal RNA is filed under the name uncultured bacterium. RNAcentral describes it as "partial 16S ribosomal RNA". It matches the Rfam family "Bacterial small subunit ribosomal RNA", at positions 29 to 301 of the family's 1533-position model. The record is from RNAcentral.